CACAUAGAAGCACUGUGGCGUGCUGAGAGGAUGCAAGAACGUCUACAAAAGCACGAGCAGCAUCUCAAGAAAAUUUGUAACAAUUAAGAGACUAAUAACGCUUCCAUGAGAAGUCAAAUGGAACUCAGAAUUAAAGACCUGGAAUCAGAGGUCUGUAAAAUGAAAAUUCAAGAAAAUUCUACUAAA
Long non-coding RNA from Fukomys damarensis (Damara mole-rat), 186 nucleotides. RefSeq lists it as uncharacterized. Lineage: Eukaryota; Metazoa; Chordata; Mammalia; Rodentia; Bathyergidae. The transcript has 2 exons. The record is from RefSeq and is a predicted model, not a curated record.